This 459-nucleotide ribosomal RNA is filed under the name uncultured bacterium. RNAcentral describes it as "partial 16S ribosomal RNA". It matches the Rfam family "Bacterial small subunit ribosomal RNA", at positions 338 to 795 of the family's 1533-position model. The record is from RNAcentral.
CCUACGGGUGGCAGCAGUGAGGAAUAUUGGUCAAUGGCCGAGAGUCUGAACCAGCCAAGUCGCGUGAAGGAUGACUGUCCUAUGGGUUGUAAACCUCUUUUAUCUGGGAACAAAGUGAUCCACGUGUGGGCUUUUGUAUGUACCAGAUGAAAAAGGAUCGGCUAACUCCGUGCCAGCAGCCGCGGUAAUACGGAGGAUGCGAGCGUUAUCCGGAUUUAUUGGGGUUAAAGGGGUCGUAGGCGGAAUGUCAAGUCAGUGGUAAAAUUUUGGGGCUCAACCUCACUCUGCCGUUGAAACUGGCGGUGUUGAGUGGGAGAGAAGUAUGCGGAAUGCGUGGUGUAGCGGUGAAAUGCAUAGAUAUCACGCAGAACUCCGAUUGCGAAGGCAGCAUACCGGCGCCCAACUGACGCUGAGGCACGAAAGCGUGGGUAUCGAACAGGAGUAGAUACCCGGGUAGUC